UCCUGGUUAGCUAUGUUGGUAGAGCUCUCCCCUGGAAAUGGAGAGGUCCCUGGUUUUAUACCAAAACCAGGAG
This 73-nucleotide transfer RNA is filed under the name Ixodes scapularis (black-legged tick). It matches the Rfam family "tRNA". Rfam says of the family: Transfer RNA (tRNA) molecules are approximately 80 nucleotides in length. Their secondary structure includes four short double-helical elements and three loops (D, anti-codon, and T loops). Lineage: Eukaryota; Metazoa; Arthropoda; Arachnida; Ixodida; Ixodidae. The record is from Rfam by way of RNAcentral.